GUAAAUUGUGUGGCUUAACCAUACGAAUUCUGGGUAGACUGGUAAACUUGAGACCGGGAGAAGCUAGAGGUACUCCUGGGGUAGAGGUGAAAUUCUGUAAUCCUAGGGGGACCACCAGUGGCGAAGGCGUCUAGCCAGAACGGGUUUGACGGUGAGGGACGAAGCCCUGGGGCGCAAACGGGAUUAGAUACCCCGGUAGUCCAGGGUGUAAACGCUGCUUGCUUGAUGUUGGUUGGGCUCCGAGCCCAAUCAGUGUCGGAGAGAAGUUGUUAAGCAAGCUGCCUGGGAAGUACGAUCGCAAGACUGAAACUUAAAGGAAUUGGCGGGGGAGCACCGCAACGGGAGGAGCGUGCGGUUUAAUUGGAUUCAACGCCGGAAAGCUCACCGGAGGAGACGGCUAUAUGAAGGCCAGGCUUACGACCUUGCCAGAUUUUCCGAGAGGUGGUGCAUGGCCGUCGUCAGUUCGUACCGUAAGGCGUUCUGUUAAGUCAGACAACGAACAAGACCCUCAUCUUUAGUUGCAACUGGUAAGUCCGCUUAUCAGGCACACUAAAGAGACCGCUGGCGCUAA
This 571-nucleotide ribosomal RNA is filed under the name uncultured Thermoplasmata archaeon. RNAcentral describes it as "bacterial SSU rRNA". It matches the Rfam family "Archaeal small subunit ribosomal RNA", at positions 545 to 1117 of the family's 1478-position model. The record is from RNAcentral. Lineage: Archaea; Methanobacteriati; Thermoplasmatota; Thermoplasmata.